ACUAAGCGUACACGGUGGAUGCCCUGGCAGUCAGAGGCGAUGAAGGACGUGCUAAUCUGCGAAAAGCGCCGGCGAGGUGAUAUGAACCUUUGACCCGGCGAUGUCCGAAUGGGGAAACCCAGUGUGUUCCGACACACUAUCGUUAACUGAAUACAUAGGUUAACGAGGCGAACCGGGGGAACUGAAACAUCUAAGUACCCCGAGGAAAAGAAAUCAACCGAGAUUCCCCCAGUAGCGGCGAGCGAACGGGGAGCAGCCCAGAGUCUGAAUCAGCUUGUGUGUUAGUGGAAGCGUCUGGAAAGUCGCACGGUACAGGGUGAAAGUCCCGUACACGAAAGCACACAGGUUGUGAACUCGAAGAGUAGGGCGGGACACGUGGUAUCCUGUCUGAAUAUGGGGGGACCAUCCUCCAAGGCUAAAUACUCCUGACUGACCGAUAGUGAACCAGUACCGUGAGGGAAAGGCGAAAAGAACCCCGGCGAGGGGAGUGAAAAAGAACCUGAAACCGUGUACGUACAAGCAGUGGGAGCCUCUUUUAUGGGGUGACUGCGUACCUUUUGUAUAAUGGGUCAGCGACUUAUAUUCUGUAGCAAGGUUAACCGUAUAGGGGAGCCGAAGGGAAACCGAGUCUUAACUGGGCGUUAAGUUGCAGGGUAUAGACCCGAAACCCGGUGAUCUAGCCAUGGGCAGGUUGAAGGUUGGGUAACACUAACUGGAGGACCGAACCGACUAAUGUUGAAAAAUUAGCGGAUGACUUGUGGCUGGGGGUGAAAGGCCAAUCAAACCGGGAGAUAGCUGGUUCUCCCCGAAAGCUAUUUAGGUAGCGCCUCGUGAACUCAUCUUCGGGGGUAGAGCACUGUUUCGGCUAGGGGGCCAUCCCGGCUUACCAACCCGAUGCAAACUACGAAUACCGAAGAAUGUUAUCACGGGAGACACACGGCGGGUGCUAACGUCCGUCGUGAAGAGGGAAACAACCCAGACCGCCAGCUAAGGUCCCAAAGUCAUGGUUAAGUGGGAAACGAUGUGGGAAGGCACAGACAGCCAGGAUGUUGGCUUAGAAGCAGCCAUCAUUUAAAGAAAGCGUAAUAGCUCACUGGUCGAGUCGGCCUGCGCGGAAGAUGUAACGGGGCUAAACCAUGCACCGAAGCUGCGGCAGCGACACUAUGUGUUGUUGGGUAGGGGAGCGUUCUGUAAGCCGUUGAAGGUGUCCUGUGAGGGGUGCUGGAGGUAUCAGAAGUGCGAAUGCUGACAUAAGUAACGAUAAAGCGGGUGAAAAGCCCGCUCGCCGGAAGACCAAGGGUUCCUGUCCAACGUUAAUCGGGGCAGGGUGAGUCGACCCCUAAGGCGAGGCCGAAAGGCGUAGUCGAUGGGAAACAGGUUAAUAUUCCUGUACUUGGUGUUACUGCGAAGGGGGGACGGAGAAGGCUAUGUUAGCCGGGCGACGGUUGUCCCGGUUUAAGCAUGUAGGCGGAACGAUUAGGUAAAUCCGGUCGUUUAUUAACGCUGAGGUGUGAUGACGAGGCACUACGGUGCUGAAGUAACAAAUGCCCUGCUUCCAGGAAAAGCCUCUAAGCAUCAGGUAACAUCAAAUCGUACCCCAAACCGACACAGGUGGUCAGGUAGAGAAUACCAAGGCGCUUGAGAGAACUCGGGUGAAGGAACUAGGCAAAAUGGUGCCGUAACUUCGGGAGAAGGCACGCUGAUAUGUAGGUGAAGCCCCUGCGGGUGGAGCUGAAAUCAGUCGAAGAUACCAGCUGGCUGCAACUGUUUAUUAAAAACACAGCACUGUGCAAACACGAAAGUGGACGUAUACGGUGUGACGCCUGCCCGGUGCCGGAAGGUUAAUUGAUGGGGUUAGCGGUAACGCGAAGCUCUUGAUCGAAGCCCCGGUAAACGGCGGCCGUAACUAUAACGGUCCUAAGGUAGCGAAAUUCCUUGUCGGGUAAGUUCCGACCUGCACGAAUGGCGUAAUGAUGGCCAGGCUGUCUCCACCCGAGACUCAGUGAAAUUGAACUCGCUGUGAAGAUGCAGUGUACCCGCGGCAAGACGGAAAGACCCCGUGAACCUUUACUAUAGCUUGACACUGAACACUGGUCCUUGAUGUGUAGGAUAGGUGGGAGGCUUUGAAGCGUGGACGCCAGUCUGCGUGGAGCCAACCUUGAAAUACCACCCUUUAAUGGCUGGUGUUCUAACGUAGACCCGUGAUCCGGGUUGCGGACAGUGUCUGGUGGGUAGUUUGACUGGGGCGGUCUCCUCCCAAAGAGUAACGGAGGAGCACGAAGGUUAGCUAAUCCUGGUCGGACAUCAGGAGGUUAGUGCAAUGGCAUAAGCUAGCUUGACUGCGAGAGUGACGGCUCGAGCAGGUGCGAAAGCAGGUCAUAGUGAUCCGGUGGUUCUGAAUGGAAGGGCCAUCGCUCAACGGAUAAAAGGUACUCCGGGGAUAACAGGCUGAUACCGCCCAAGAGUUCAUAUCGACGGCGGUGUUUGGCACCUCGAUGUCGGCUCAUCACAUCCUGGGGCUGAAGUAGGUCCCAAGGGUAUGGCUGUUCGCCAUUUAAAGUGGUACGCGAGCUGGGUUUAGAACGUCGUGAGACAGUUCGGUCCCUAUCUGCCGUGGGCGCUGGAGAAUUGAGGGGGGCUGCUCCUAGUACGAGAGGACCGGAGUGGACGCAUCACUGGUGUUCGGGUUGUCAUGCCAAUGGCACUGCCCGGUAGCUAAAUGCGGAAGAGAUAAGUGCUGAAAGCAUCUAAGCACGAAACUUGCCCCGAGAUGAGUUCUCCCUGAGACUUUAAGUCUCCUGAAGGAACGUUGAAGACUACGACGUUGAUAGGUCGGGUGUGUAAGCGCAGCGAUGCGUUGAGCUAACCGAUACUAAUGAACCGUGAGGCUUAACC
This 2895-nucleotide ribosomal RNA is filed under the name Enterobacter cloacae. Its description in RNAcentral is "bacterial LSU rRNA". It matches the Rfam family "Bacterial large subunit ribosomal RNA". The record is from RNAcentral. Lineage: Bacteria; Pseudomonadati; Pseudomonadota; Gammaproteobacteria; Enterobacterales; Enterobacteriaceae.